UACGGAGGAUGCAAGAGUCAUACGGAAGUAUUGGGCGUAAAGCGUUCGUAGGUGGUUUGACAUGUCUGGGGUUUAAGCCCGGAGCCCAACUCCGGAUCAGCCCUGGAAACUGUCAGACUAGAGUAAGGUAGGGAUUGCGGGAAUUCCCGGUGUAGAGGUGAAAUGCGAAGAUAUCGGGAAGAACAACAGCGGCGAAAGCGCGCAACUGGGCCAUUACUGACACUGAGGGACGAAAGCUAGGGGAGCGAAUGGG
RNAcentral lists this ribosomal RNA (253 nucleotides) under uncultured bacterium. RNAcentral describes it as "partial 16S ribosomal RNA". It matches the Rfam family "Bacterial small subunit ribosomal RNA", at positions 524 to 776 of the family's 1533-position model. The record is from RNAcentral.